CAGUCGCCGCGGGAAUACGGAGGGUGCAAGCGUUAAUCGGAAUUACUGGGCGUAAAGCGCACGCAGGCGGUCUGUCAAGUCAGAUGUGAAAUCCCCGGGCUUAACCUGGGAACUGCAUUUGAAACUGGCAGGCUAGAGUCUUGUAGAGGGGGGUAGAAUUCCAGGUGUAGCGGUGAAAUGCGUAGAGAUCUGGAGGAAUACCGGUGGCGAAGGCGGCCCCCUGGACAAAGACUGACGCUCAGGUGCGAAAGCGUGGGGAGCAAACAGGAUUAGAUACCCGGGUAGUCCCUGUCUCUUAUAC
RNAcentral lists this ribosomal RNA (301 nucleotides) under uncultured bacterium. RNAcentral describes it as "partial 16S ribosomal RNA". It matches the Rfam family "Bacterial small subunit ribosomal RNA", at positions 509 to 807 of the family's 1533-position model. The record is from RNAcentral.